CCUACGGGGGGCUGCAGUGGGGGAUAUUGCACAAUGGGGGAAACCCUGAUGCAGCGACGCCGCGUGUGGGAAGACGGCCUUCUGGAUUGUAAACCACUGUCCCCAGGGACGAAAAUGACGGUACCUGGGGAGGAAGCUCCGGCAAACCACGUGCCAGUAGCCGCGGUAAUACGUAGGGAGCAAGCGUUGUCCGGAAUUACUGGGUGUAAGGGGAGCGUAGGCGGGGAUGCAAGUUGGGUGUCAAUGCUACCGGCUCAACCGAUAGUCGCACUCAAAACUGCAACUCUUGAGUGAAGUAGAGGCAGGCGGAAUUCCUAGUGUAGCGGUGAAAUGCGUAGAUAUUAGGAAGAACACCAGUUGCGAAGGCAGCCUGCUGAGCUUUUACUGACGCUGAGGCUCGAAAGUGUGGGGAGCAAACAGGAUUAGAUACCCGAGUAGUC
RNAcentral lists this ribosomal RNA (440 nucleotides) under uncultured bacterium. Its description in RNAcentral is "partial 16S ribosomal RNA". It matches the Rfam family "Bacterial small subunit ribosomal RNA", at positions 338 to 795 of the family's 1533-position model. The record is from RNAcentral.